GAGUUCGAUUAUGGCUCAAGAUUGAACGCUGGCGGGUCUGUUUACAUGCAAGUCAACGGCAGCACGGACUUCGGUCUGGUGGCGAGUGGCGAACGGGUGAGUAAUGUAUCGGAACGUGCCUAGUAGCGGAGAUGCGCUUUACGCCAGCGCAGCUAAUACCGCAUACGCCCUUCGGGGGAAAGCAGGACCCUUCGAGGCAUCACUAUUAGAGCAGCCGAUAUCGGAUUAGCUAGUUGGUGGGGUAACGGCUCACCAAGGGCGACGAUCCGUAGCUGGUUUGAAGGGACGACCAGCCACGCAGGACUGAGACACGGCCCAGACUCCUGCGGGAGGCAACAGUGGGGAAUUUUGGACAAUGGGGAAACCCUGAUCAAUAUCCCGCGUAUUGCGAUGAAGGCCUUCGGGUUGUAAAGCACUUUGGCAGGGGAAAGAAACGGCGCGGGAUAAUACGUGCAGCGGCGGUACCUGCAGAAUAAGCACCGGCUAACUACGUGCCAGCAGCCGCGGUAAUACAGUAGGGUGCAAGCGUUAAUCGAAUUACUGGGCGUAAAGCGUGCGCAGGCGGUUUCGGAAGAAGAUGUGAAAUCCCAGAGCCUUUGGAACUGCAUUUUUAACUACCGAGCUAGAGUGUGUCAGAGGAGGUGGAAUUCCGCGUGUAGCAGUGAAAUGCGUAGAUAUGCGGAGGAACACCGAUGGCGACAGCCUCCUGGGAUAACACACUGACGCUCAUGCACGAAAAGCGUGGGGAGCAAACGGGAUUAGAUACCCUGGUAGUCCGCUAAACGAUGUCAACUAGCUGUUGGGACAGCCGGGCCUUGGUAGCGCAGCUAACGCGUGAAGUUGACCGCCUGGGAAGUACGGUCGCAAGAUUAAAACUCAAAGGAAUUGACGGGGACACACAAGCGGUGGAUGAUGUGGAUUAAUUCGAUGCAACGCGAAAAACCUUACCCUACCCUUGACAUGUCUGGAAUCCCGAAGAGAUUUGGGAGUGCUCGCAAGAGAACCGGAACACAGGUGCUGCAUGGCUGUCGUCAGCUCGUGUCGUGAGAUGUUGGGUUAAGUCCCGCAACGAGCGCAACCCUUGUCAUUAGUUGCUACGAAAGGGCACUCUAAUGAGACUGCCGGUGACAAACCAAGGAAGGUGGGGAUGACGUCAAGUCCUCAUGGCCCUUAUGGGUGAGGGCUUCACACGUCAUACAAUGGUCGGGACAGAGGGUCGCCAACCCGCGGUAUUAGAGAGCGAUCGUAGUCGGAUCGCAGUCUGCAACUCGACUGCGUGAAGUCAGAAUCGCUAGUAAUCGCGGAUCAGCAUGUCGCGGUGAAUACGUUCCCGGGUCUUGUACACACCGCCCGUCACACCAUGGGAGUGGGUUUUACCAGAAGUAGUUAGCCUAACCGGCUAAGGAGGGCGAUUACCACGGUAGGAUUCAUGACUGGGGUGAAGUCGUAACAAAAGGUAG
Molecule: ribosomal RNA, 1460 nt
Filed under: uncultured Bordetella sp.
Lineage: Bacteria; Pseudomonadati; Pseudomonadota; Betaproteobacteria; Burkholderiales; Alcaligenaceae
Description: partial 16S-23S ribosomal RNA intergenic spacer
Rfam family: Bacterial small subunit ribosomal RNA
Source: RNAcentral